RNAcentral lists this long non-coding RNA (238 nucleotides) under Brassica rapa (field mustard). RNAcentral's name for it is "long non-coding RNA (BRAP_LNC006342)". Lineage: Eukaryota; Viridiplantae; Streptophyta; Magnoliopsida; Brassicales; Brassicaceae. The record is from RNAcentral.
GCCUGCUUCAGCUCCGUCUCCGUCCAGUCUUCUUCAGGUUUGUUGGAUUCAACACCGUAUUUUCCCUUGACCUUUGGCUCAGUCCAUUCUGAAAUGAUUGACUUCCAGCCAUGGCAUUGAUACCUCGGAUGGUUGACCUCAUCAUUGACUUACACAGCCUAUAGUUGGUCGCAUCCAAAAUCACCUUGCAGUGGACACACGUUCAUGAUAGUUUUUCAUUUCUUUCCCAAGGUCUCAC